CAAUGUUGGCCUUGAAGUUGAGGCUCUUUACACUUUAGGCAUAAAAAGUCAUCGCUUCACUAAAUGUGCUCCGCUUAGCAUAUGUAAAGGUGCUUUCCUAUUUGUUGUUGCGCUUCAAUCCUUUUGACUAUACUCGGUGUGCUUGGGCUAUGGUGCAUGCCUUAGAGAUGUCGCCCAGCCUUUUGCAUUCAGAGGCGCGGUGCCUCAAGCACAUCUCAGGAGCACCUUUAAUAACACUGAGUAGGAGGGGAGCAUAGAG
RNAcentral lists this unclassified non-coding RNA (259 nucleotides) under Hevea brasiliensis (rubber tree). Lineage: Eukaryota; Viridiplantae; Streptophyta; Magnoliopsida; Malpighiales; Euphorbiaceae. The record is from RNAcentral.